UACGUAGGGUGCGAGCGUUGUCCGGAAUUAUUGGGCGUAACGAGCUCGUAGGCGGUGUGUCGCGUCGGCCGUGAAAACCUGGGGCUUAACUCUGGGCGUGCGGUCGAUACGGGCAUCACUGGAGUUCGGCAGGGGAGACUGGAAUUCCUGGUGUAGCGGUGAAAUGCGCAGAUAUCAGGAGGAACACCGGUGGCGAAGGCGGGUCUCUGGGCCGUGACCUGACACUGAGCCACGACGGCGUGGGGAGCAAACGGG
This 255-nucleotide ribosomal RNA is filed under the name uncultured bacterium. RNAcentral's name for it is "partial 16S ribosomal RNA". It matches the Rfam family "Bacterial small subunit ribosomal RNA", at positions 524 to 776 of the family's 1533-position model. The record is from RNAcentral.